GACGAACGCUGGCGGCGUGCUUAACACAUGCAAGUCGAACGGGAUUUAGUAAACAGAAGCCUCGGUGGAAGAUUACUAAUGAGAGUGGCGAACGGGUGAGUAACGCGUGAGCAACCUGCCUAUGACAGUGGGAUAGCCUCGGGAAACCGGGAUUAAUACCGCAUAAAAUCGUAGAAACACAUGUUUUAACGGUCAAAGAUUUAUCGGUCAUAGAUGGGCUCGCGUCUGAUUAGCUAGUUGGUGAGAUAACAGCCCACCAAGGCGACGAUCAGUAGCCGGUCUGAGAGGAUGAACGGCCACAUUGGAACUGAGACACGGUCCAAACUCCUACGGGAGGCGGCAGUGGGGAAUAUUGCACAAUGGGGGAAACCCUGAUGCAGCGACGCCGCGUGAACGAAGAAGGUAUUCGUAUCGUAAAGUUCUGUCCUAUGGGAAGAUAAUGACAGUACCAUAGAAGAAAGCUCCGGCUAAAUACGUG
RNAcentral lists this ribosomal RNA (478 nucleotides) under uncultured bacterium. RNAcentral describes it as "partial 16S ribosomal RNA". It matches the Rfam family "Bacterial small subunit ribosomal RNA", at positions 28 to 507 of the family's 1533-position model. The record is from RNAcentral.